CUCUGCAUACAAAGGUCUUUUUGAAAUUUGGGGAGUUGUAAGCCGAGUUGUUCAUCCCCUCUAAAAAAGAGGAUGAGAAUAUGACUAAUACUGAGAGAGAGGAAAUAAUGUCAUUCAGUUCUAAAUGACGCCCAGGCUUGCUUCUUCUUGAAGCCUGUUCAAGAGGCCACAUCUUAACCAGCUGAGGGAUAGAGGAGUGGGACUGAAUCCUCAGUGAAACAUGACACUCAGUGGGAAGCUUACAGAAUGAAAGAGAAGGUGAAGAACCCUCUCAGCCUGCUCUCCUGGGGACUGAGUAUAUCUGAAUCAGAAAUAAAAUCAACAGAAGUCACAAAGAACUUCAGCUUAGCCAACAUCCUGAGUUCCCAGUAUCUCCUAUUAAUCGAACUCAAUAAGAAGAAAAACGUAAAGUAACUUGCAUACGAGAUCCAACGAUCAGUAUCCCAAAGUGAAGAAUAUGGCAGAAAAGGACAGAUAAUUCAUAUAAAACAACAAUCAAAUAAGCUACCCUGCAAGAAUCUUCAAACUAGAAGUGGCAAACAAAACAAGUGGAAGAACUUUUAAAGCUGUUUAUAUUUGUCCUACUUUCUGCAAGCUUCUGCCUUGAUGGAGGCAAUAGCAACAUGGAGAUCCACCUGCAGCAAGUUAAGUUCGACUCCAAAUGAUUCUGUGACUGGGCUCUGGAACAAGUAUCACAGGGAACAACUAGACCGACUUAAAAACACACUUCAGCACCACUGAAAAGUUGAGGAUUGAUUAAUUUUACUCUUUCAGUUUUAUUUGUGACUUUCUGACUUUGGCCAUUAGUUAUCAACAAGGAUGGAACAAUUUAUUCCAGUAAAGGGGAAAAGAUUUUCUCACUGUAAGGAGUACAUAAAUACCUGUAGAAGAAGAAGCAAUAUGAACAGGACUGGACUUGAAUCACAGGAAAGUACUCUGGAAGUUUGCUGACUACUUCAGGUGAGGCAUGGCCCACACAGGAAAGAUCAUUGCAUUGAUGCCCUCUAAGUCGAAGAUCUCAAGUAGUGUUUGCGAUCACCAAAAUGGAGGUGCCAUUCACAGUGUAAGCCAUAAAGUGUGUAUUCUAUAUCUGUUUUCUCUGUAUACAGAAAACCUAGUCCACAUAUUUAAUUAUAUGGCAAUCAUGCUUGAUUAUCAUGAUAAUUUAAAACUUUACAUUAUCUCUCACACUUAGCCUAAUUAUUAGACAUAUACUCAUAUUAAAAAAUAAAGUUCAGAGCCGGCGCCGUGGCUCAAUAGGCUAAUCCUCCACCUUGCGGCGCCGGCACACCGGGUUCUAGUCCCGGUUGGGGCGCCGGAUUCUGUCCCGGUUGCCCCUCUUCCAGGCCAGCUCUCUGCUAUGGCCAGGGAGUGCAGUGGAGGAUGGCCCAGGUGCUUGGGCCCUGCACCCCAUGGGAGACCAGGAAAAGCACCUGGCUCCUGGCUCCUGCCAUCGGAUCAGCGCGGUGCGCCGGCUGCAGCGGCGGCCAUUGGAGGGUGAACCAACGGCAAAGGAAGACCUUUCUCUCUCUGUCUCUCUCUCUCACUGUCCACUCUGCCUGUCAAAAAUUAAAAAA
Molecule: non-coding RNA, 1577 nt
Organism: Oryctolagus cuniculus (rabbit)
Lineage: Eukaryota; Metazoa; Chordata; Mammalia; Lagomorpha; Leporidae
Source: RefSeq, a predicted model, not a curated record